GUCUGUCUGUGUCUACGGGCACCGUGGCCACACCUGCCUGCACAGCCAGGGCCAGGAGGAGGAGAUGCCAUGACCCUCAUUCUCACAAGCCUGCUCUUCUUUGGUGAGAUCUUAAGAGGGGGAGGAGAGACCCUAGUCUAGGAGAGAGACCCCAAUCCAUAGCCAUGCCUUAGUCAAUUAGGGCAUCCCAGGGGCUCAAGGAAAAGAAGAAGACCUGCUCAGGCUUCGGAGGCAAAUCUCUCACAGGGAACUCUCUUCCAGGGCUGAGCCUGGGCCCCAGGACCCGGGUGCAGGCAGAAAACCUACUCAAACCCAUCCUGUGGGCCGAGCCAGGUCCCGUGAUCACCUGGCAUAACCCCGUGACCAUCUGGUGUCAGGGCACCCUGGAGGCCCAGGGGUACCGUCUGGAUAAAGAGGGAAACUCAAUGUCGAGGCACAUAUUAAAAACACUGGAGUCUGAAAACAAGGUCAAACUCUCCAUCCCAUCCAUGAUGUGGGAACAUGCAGGGCGAUAUCACUGUUACUAUCAGAGCCCUGCAGGCUGGUCAGAGCCCAGCGACCCCCUGGAGCUGGUGGUGACAGCCUACAGCAGACCCACCCUGUCCGCACUGCCAAGCCCUGUGGUGACCUCAGGAGUGAACGUGACCCUCCGGUGUGCCUCACGGCUGGGACUGGGCAGGUUCACUCUGAUUGAGGAAGGAGACCACAGGCUCUCCUGGACCCUGAACUCACACCAACACAACCAUGGAAAGUUCCAGGCCCUGUUCCCCAUGGGCCCCCUGACCUUCAGCAACAGGGGUACAUUCAGAUGCUACGGCUAUGAAAACAACACCCCAUACGUGUGGUCGGAACCCAGUGACCCCCUGCAGCUACUGGUGUCAGGCGUGUCUAGGAAGCCCUCCCUCCUGACCCUGCAGGGCCCUGUCGUGACCCCCGGAGAGAAUCUGACCCUCCAGUGUGGCUCUGAUGUCGGCUACAUCAGAUACACUCUGUACAAGGAGGGGGCCGAUGGCCUCCCCCAGCGCCCUGGCCGGCAGCCCCAGGCUGGGCUCUCCCAGGCCAACUUCACCCUGAGCCCUGUGAGCCGCUCCUACGGGGGCCAGUACAGAUGCUACGGCGCACACAACGUCUCCUCCGAGUGGUCGGCCCCCAGUGACCCCCUGGAUAUCCUGAUCGCAGGACAGAUCUCUGACAGACCCUCCCUCUCAGUGCAGCCGGGCCCCACGGUGACCUCAGGAGAGAAGGUGACCCUGCUGUGUCAGUCAUGGGACCCGAUGUUCACUUUCCUUCUGACCAAGGAGGGGGCAGCCCAUCCCCCGUUGCGUCUGAGAUCAAUGUACGGAGCUCAUAAGUACCAGGCUGAAUUCCCCAUGAGUCCUGUGACCUCAGCCCACGCGGGGACCUACAGGUGCUACGGCUCACGCAGCUCCAACCCCUACCUGCUGUCUCACCCCAGUGAGCCCCUGGAGCUCGUGGUCUUAGGAGCAACUGAGACCCUCAAUCCAGCACAAAAGAAGUCAGAUUCCAAGACUGGCCCCACACCUCCAGGAUUACACAGUGGAGAAUCUCAUCCGCAUGGGUGUGGCUGGCUUGGUCCUGCUGUUCCUCGGGAUUCUGUUAUUUGAGGCUCAGCACAGCCAGAGAAGCCCCCCAAGGUGCAGCCAGGAGGCAAACAGCAGAAAGGACAAUGCACCCUUCAGAGUGGUGGAGCCUUGGGAACAGAUCUGAUGAUCUGAGGAGGUUCUGGAAGACUGGGGCAGCAGUUGGGGAAGUGUCUGCUGAGAAUAUCAAGGGGAAGAAGCAUGGGUCAGGUGCAGGAAGAUGUCUGGGUGUCUGUAGAAGAUGCUUCCUCCAUUAAACUGUGGUGCUUUCCUCCUCAUUGUCGACUCUCCUUGACUGCCCCUUCCUUCGUUUUUCUUCCCUAUGAUGUAAGGCUUCACCCCUAUGGUGGGUUUGGGUCCGCCCCUCUGUGACCUCAUGCUCUGCUCCACUUUCAGGAUUCUACAGAAAAUCUACCUUCUCAGCCCCCCUGAGCCUGUUGCAACUUUAGGAGAGGACUCUCCAGCGUGGCUCAUGGCUGCAACUGGACAGAUUCAUUCUGACCGAGGAAGGAGAACUCAGUCUCUCCUGCACCCUAGACUCUCAGCAACACCCUAGUGGACAGUCCCAAGCUCUGUUUCCUGUGGGCCCCAAGACCCUCAGCCACAGAUGGAUGUUCAGAUGUCAUGGCAAUAACAGGAACACCCUUCAGGUGUGGUCGGAACUCAGCGACUCCCUGAAGCUCCUGUUCUCAGGUGAGGAAGUCAGAACACCCUUCAGGUGUGGUCGGACCUCAGCAACUCCCUGAAGCUCCUGUUCUCAGGUGAGGAAGUCCCAUCUUUACCCCAAACAUUCUUUGAAGCAUCAGACAGGUUGCUGUGGAUCUUGCUCCCAGGCAAGUCCCAAGCGUGAGGGUGGAAUGAGGGGAACGAGGGCUUCUGGGGCCAGAGACACAGAGUAUAAGUGAUGGUGAGAUCUGCAGAGCCAGGAGGACAAGGGAUGUAUUUGAGGGGAGUCAGCCCCCAAAGUCCUGACUUGUCUUUCCCUCUAGGUGUGUCUAGGACUCCCUGCACGGGACCAAACAGGGGCCCCUCCUAAUCUCUGGAGAGAGUCUGACCUUCCAGUGUUGCUCUGAUGUUGGCCACCAAGGACUUUUCCUGUCUGAGGAGAGGCGACAUGACCACCCUGGCACCAUGGCUGGCAGCCCCAGGCUGGGCUCCGUCAGGCUGACGUUUCCUUGGAGUGGCUCCCAUGGGAGCCAGGACAGAUGCUGUGCUAAACGCAACGUCUUUUCUUUUCUUUUCUUGUUUUGUUUUGUUUUUGUUUUUUUGAGAUGGAGUUUCGCUCUUGUUGCCCAGGCUGGAGUGCGUGGUACGAUCUCAGCUCACUGCAACCUUCACCUCCUGGGUUCAAGUAAUUCUCCUGCCUCAGCCUCUCAAGUACCUGGGAUUACAGGCAUACACUACCAUGCCUGGCUAAAUUUUUUUUUUUUUUUUUGUAUUUUUAGUAGAGACUGGGUUUUGCCAUGUUGGCCAGCCUGGUGUUGAACUCUUGACCUCAGGUGAUCCACCCACCUCGGCCUCCCAAAGUGCUGGGAUUACAGGCGUGAGUCACCGCACCGAGCCCACAAUGUCUUUUCUGAUUGUUUGGUCCCCUGAAUCCCCUGGAUAUGCUAUUGCAGGUGAGGGGUCCAGCAGGUUCACUCAGGGACCCAGAUUCUGCACAGGGCCUGCUGGGGAUCUGCAGGCGGUGAUGACCAGCAUGAUGAGUGUAUUAGUCUGUUUUCUUGCUGCUGAUAAAGACAUCCCCAAGACUGGGUGAUUUAUAAAGAAAAAGAGGUUUAAUGGACUCACAGUUCCAUGUGGCUGGGGAGACCUCAUAAGCAUGGUGGAAGGUGAAAGGCACAUGGUGGCAGACAAGAAAGAAAUGAGAGCCAAGUGAAAGGGGUUUCCCCUUAUAAAACCAUCAGAUCUCGUGAGACUUACUACCAGGAGAACAGUAUGGGGGAAACCACCCACCGCCUCCACGAUUCAAUUAUCUCCCACCAGGUUCCUCCCACAACACGUGGGAAUUAUGGGAGCUACAAUUCAAGAUGAGAUUUGGGUGGGGACACAAUCAAACCAUGUCAAUGGAUAAGGUUCUUUAGAGAGGGAAAGAGACAGAGGGGCAAGGUGGAUGGGAGGGAGAGGAAGAGACUCAGAGGAAACAGUGAAUGACAGAGAGACUGAGGGUCCUAGAGAGAAGCCCUGGGAAGGUCUCUGCUCAGAACAAGGUGGGGGCAGCCCCUCACCCAUCCUGCCUCUCUCUAGGACAGCUGCCUGAGGGAUAUUCCCUGUUGGUGCAGCCGGGCUCCAUGGUGGCCUCAGGAAAGAACAUGGUCCUGCUACAUCAGUGACACUUUUCUUAUUUCCAAGAAGGGAGCAGCAGAUCCCUACCUUUGUGUCUAAUAUCAAAGUACCAAGCUCAGCAGUACAGGCUGAAUUCUCCAUGAAUGCUGGGAGGACCUACAGGUGCUAUGUCUUAUAGAGUACCUCCCCCUACCUGUUUUCACACCCCAGGGACCCCCAGGGUUUGUGGUCUCAGGUAAGGAGAUCCUACCCCAUGAGCACUGAGGCUGGAAUGAGACAUGUGUGAACAUAUGAGAAAAUGUGUUUAGAACUUCAUGUUCAUAACACAGCUUUGGAUCACAAGGUCAGGAGAUCGAGACCAUCCUGGCCAACAUGGUGAAACCCCAUCUCUACUAAAAUACAAAAAAUUAGCCGGGCGUGGUGGUGCACGCCUGUAGUCCCAGCUACUCGGGAGGCUGAGGCAGGGGAAUCGCUUGAACCCAGGAGGCGGAGAUUGCAGUGAGCCGAGAUCGCACCAGUGCACUCCAGCUUGGUGACAGAGUGAGACUCCAUCAAAAAAAAAAAGAAAAAAGAAAAAUUCCUAAAUUGUAUAUACUUAUUGUGUAAAGUAUGUAGUUUUGAAAUAUAUAUACUUGUCUGUUGGGCAAAUCAAUCUAAUUAACAUAUACAUUACUUUCCAUAUUUCUAAUUUUUGUGUGGUAAGAACCCUUAAAAUCUACUUUUAUAGUGAUUUUUAAGGAUAUAAUACACUGUUAUGUCUUCCGAGAUGGUGAAAAUACCAAAAUGGUGUGUAGAGAUUCAUUCUGCAUUCUUGUAUCCAAGAAAGAACAUGGGAGGUGAUAUGGUUUGGCUGUGUCCCCACCCAAAUCUCAUCUUGAAUUGUAGCUCCCAUAAUUCCCACGUGCUGUGGGAGCCGGUGGGAGAUAACUGAAUCAUGGAGGCAGUUUCUCCCAUUCUGUUCUUGUGGUCGUGAAUAAGUCUCAGAAGAGCUGAUGAUUUUAUAAGGGGUUUCCCCUUUUGCUUGGCUCUCAUUUCCUCUGUACCUGCCACCACGUGAGAUGUUGCUUUCACCUUCCACCAUGAUUGUGAGGCCUCUGCAGCCAUGUGGAACUGUGAGUCAAUUAAAUCUCUUUUUCUUAUAAAUUACCUGGUCUCGGGUAUGUCUUUAUCAGCAGCCUGAAAAUGGACUAAUACAGGAGUUGAAUAUGAAAGUGAAGGAAAUCUCAGAUACUGCUAAAAAGAAGGCAGGCAGCAGCUCAUGCAGCAAGACCUGGCAGAAAACCAUGAGUGAACUUCCAGUGCCUGAGAGGGAAGUUAUGAGACCACAUGAUACCCAUUCUCAGUGGGGAGCCAGGCAAUCCAGGCCACUGGGGAGCUCUUUGACCGACCUAAGCCCUGGAUCUGACUUAGGGAACAGCGGGAGGACUGUGAAAAGGAAGGGCCCAGGGAAGUGCUCCAUGUGUGCUCCCAGACCUGGAUGCUGAUAGAAAGAGGCCAUUCCUGAUCCUAACCCUUAGUGGGCAGUGCAAGAACUUGACAUCGGCCCGGCGCGGUGGCUCACGCCUGUAAUCCCAGCACUUUGGGAGGCCGAGGCAGGCGGAUCACGAGGUCAGGAGAUCGAGACCAUCCUGACUAACACGGUGAAACCCCGUCUCUACUAAAAAUACAAAAAAUUAGCUGGGCGUGGUGGCUCAUGCUUGUAAUCCCAGCACUUUGGGAGGCCGAGGCAGGCGGAUCACGAGGUCAGGAGUUCAAGACCAUCCUGGCUAACACGGUGAAACCCCGUCUCUACUAAAAAUACAAAAAAUUAGCCGGGCACGGUGGUGGGUGCCUGUAGUCCCAGCUACUCGGGAGGCUGAGGCAGGAGAAUGGCACGAACCUGGGAGGCGAAGCUUGCAGUGAGCUGAGAUCACGCCACUGCACUCCAGCCUGGGCGACAGAGCGAGACUCCGUCUCAAAAAAAAAAAAAAGAACUUGACAUCAAACAUGGGUGAGGGUCACUACUUCGGAGAGUCUUGGGCCAGAGAUUGACAAUCUGGGCUCAAGUAGAAGACAGGUCCCCAUGGACAGAACUGAGAGGCAAUUGUGGCAUGGGCUCCAGACACCAAGCACUGGCGUUGGACACCUCUCUUUGACAGAACCGAGGGGGAAAAGUUGUAGCCUGAGAGGCAUGGAUUUUACCCAGGAGGCAAGAUCUGUGGCCUGGGGUAGUUGAGUGGUCUGACAUCAAACCGCAUGUGAUUUGACGGUCUGAAAUUGCUUCCAGCAUUGGGCCACAGGGAGGAGCUCUGCUGGGUUGGGAGCAUUAGAUUAAAGUGAGUCCCACUGUCAUUUUCUAGGCUUGGAACCCAACGUGCCCCUCUGGGGAACUCUGCUGUAACUUUGGCAUAAUAGUCAUUGCCCUACUCAGUGCUUGAGUGUCUCUCCAGGGACCUGAGAACCACACAUGUAGCCUCUGUGGGGACGGAGCCUGUGCCUAGCAUUGGGCCUGAGUACAGGCUUGCCUGGACCAGCCACACUUACCUUCAUUUCCCUGCGUUGGAGGCAGAGUACUGAUCAAGACCACUGAGUUUUCCACAACCCAACCCAUCACUUAGGAUACCUGAAUGCUUCUGGUUAACAAAGGUCAAGCAUAAAGCCCACUGCCAGCGCUACAACUGGCUCUCACCAGCAAUUGCCACCUACUGGCCUGGAGGUCAAACCAUACAGCACAUUACAACGUCUCCUGAAACAAGUGACAGUGAUUGGGGAAGAGACAAGUUUCACACAAACUCUGCCACCACCAUUGCCCACGCCACCCCAGCUACACCUCUCCUUUGCAGAACCGCUUGAGGAAAGGCUAAACCUUUCUGCAAAGGAGAGGUGUCUAAUUCCAGUGCUCGGGGUCUGGAGCCCAUGCCACACUUGCCCCUCAGUUCUGUCUGUGGGGACCUGUCCCCUACUUGAGACCAGAUUGCCAAGGAGGAGGCCUUAAGUUAACUUGCCUGCUCUGUCACCUACCUGAGCCUGGGAAGGUUGAGGCUGCAGUGAUCCAAGAUCGUGCCACUGCACUCCACCCUGGGUGACAAAGUGAGACCCUGUCUCAAAAAACAAAAACAAAAAAACUGCUCUGACCUUUUCAAAAGUAUCAAGGUCAAGAACAAAGAUAAACAAAGGCACCACGCAGUGGAGUAAGAGCCUGUCUAUUGCCUAUUGCUCUCAAGCGCCAUCUACUGGAUUACAGCCACACUACAACACCAAAAAUCACUUUACUAAAUUCUACCGCCUGGAAAACCAAGAGCAAGAAUUCAGCAAAGACCCUGUACAGAGCCUUAGUCCCCUGAAAACUUCCAGAAAUAAAGCCAACAGACUAUACUCAAUUUAUACCCUUGCAAUGAAAGGAAUAGCAACCCUCCCAGAUGAGAAAAAAAAUCAGGGAAAUAACUCCUAUUAUCUCCAAACCAGUCCACGAGCUCCCCAGAAAUUGUUCUUAAUCAGUAUGAAUUGUCUGAAAUGACAAACGUAGAAUUUGGAAUCUGGAUGGCAAGGAAGGUCAUUCAAAUCAAGAGCAAAGUUGAAAUUCAAUCCAAGGAAGCCAAGCAAUCCAGUAAAAUGAUUAAUGACAUGAACGAUUAAAUUUUAAGAAACACCCAAACUGAACUUCUCGAGCUGAAAAAUUCAUGACACGAAUUUCAUAAUACGAUGAGAAGCAUUAACAGCAGAAUAGACCAAGCUGAGGAAAAGAAUUUCAAAGCUUGAAGACUUGUUUGAAUCAAAUCAGUCAAAUAUAAGGAAAAAAUAUUUUUAAAAGUGAACAAAAUCUCUGAGAAAUAUGAUAUUAUCUAAAGACACCAAAUGUAUGACUUGUCAGCAUUCCUGAAAGGGGAAGAGAGAAUAAGCAACUUGGAAAAUAUAUUUGAGGAUAUAGUCCAUGAAUAUUUUCCUAAACUCGCUAGAGAGUUUGACACACAAAUCCAAGAAACAUAGAGACGCCCAGCCAGAUAACGGUCUAGAUUUGAGGGUAUGGUGAAAAAGAUGCUUAGAAAAUGUCAGAAGUGAGACACAAUGGCUCAUUUGCUUGUGUCUUGCAUUCUCCACCUUGCAAUUCUGUACUGAUGGCUGUACUAUCAGCAGGAUCCACUCGUUAUUAUAUUCACUAUCAACCUUCAGCCUAAGGGUUUUGGCAGCCAUUGAUGUUUAUUGCUUGUAUACUCAACGCACAGGUUAUCCAAGCUUUGCAGGGUUAACUAUUAUUAUGCAAAAACUCUACAGCUAUUCUUAGGCAAAAACAUUACUAUAGCUAUUACUAUACUUAUUAUUAUGUAGAAACAUUCUACAGAAAAGAAUGUUUCCUGUGUAACACUUCAGAUAAACAAAAGAGAUCUUGCUUCUUGCCUUCAUUUCCACGUUUUUGAUGUGGAGAUUUUGUUCUUUUCCCAUUCCUCAUAUUUGAGGGGUUUUUUGUUUUUUAAUUUUGUUUUUAACAGUAGUAAACUGAUAGGCUUUGAACAUAUUCAUUAGUUUUAAUACACUACCUAUAUUAUUUGAUUCUAUAAAUAUUCCACAUUUUGCCAUUGGGAACUUUUCAUGAUAGACUUUAUGUUCAGGUAACAUGAAUCUGAUGGUAUGUGGUGAUGUCUUUGCUUUCUUGCAUGAUAAGAAGUUCUGACUUCAUCUCCUG
Molecule: long non-coding RNA, 8547 nt
Filed under: Homo sapiens (human)
Lineage: Eukaryota; Metazoa; Chordata; Mammalia; Primates; Hominidae
Description: non-protein coding lnc-LILRA4-1:10
Source: RNAcentral